This 254-nucleotide ribosomal RNA is filed under the name uncultured bacterium. RNAcentral describes it as "partial 16S ribosomal RNA". It matches the Rfam family "Bacterial small subunit ribosomal RNA", at positions 524 to 777 of the family's 1533-position model. The record is from RNAcentral.
UACGUAGGGUGCGAGCGUUGUCCGGAAUUAUUGGGCGUAAAGAGCUUGUAGGCGGUUUGUCGCGUCUGCUGUGAAAAUCCGGGGCUCAACCCCGGACUUGCAGUGGGUACGGGCAGACUAGAGUGUGGUAGGGGAGACUGGAAUUCCUGGUGUAGCGGUGGAAUGCGCAGAUAUCAGGAGGAACACCGAUGGCGAAGGCAGGUCUCUGGGCCACUACUGACGCUGAGAAGCGAAAGCAUGGGGAGCGAACAGGG